This is a long non-coding RNA of Trifolium pratense (red clover), 1439 nucleotides long. RefSeq lists it as uncharacterized. NCBI's taxonomy places the organism in Eukaryota, Viridiplantae, Streptophyta, Magnoliopsida, Fabales, Fabaceae. The record is from RefSeq and is a predicted model, not a curated record. The transcript is spliced from 2 exons.
UGAUACGAACACGCUACAUUUUGUUUCGUAAAUACCAUAGAAGUGUCCUAUGGCUUCAACAGCAGGUCAAAAAUGGCAAAAACAAAGAAAACACAUGGUUUUGUAAACUAGGAUCCAAAAUAAUUUUGUUUCGUAUUCUACUUUACAAAAACGCUAGUCUUCAUUUUCUACUAACCGAAAUUUCGUAUACCAGUGAAUCCACAGGCACUUCAUCAUUUUGAAGAAAAUCUAAUUUUAGGGUUAUGGAGGGUGAUUUUUAGGGUUUCAUUCGCAAACAAAAAUGGCGAACAGUCGUUUCAUUCAUGUUUCGUUCACUCCCUUCCAUUCGUCUCACUAAAUCGCUACAAGAACAAAGGGUUUGGGUUGGAAAUUUCCAAAUCUUUCACUCAUACAAGCAUGACAGAUGAAGUUGGGAGACAAAGAGGUGGAAGGGAAAGCAAAGCACACAACUCUGCACUUAGAGAGGUUGUGAAUGUAGAUAAAAUCCCAGCACGUGGACAAUGAACUGGAAGUGGAAGAUGAACAACCACCACCACCACCAACAAAACCACGGAGAAGAAAUCCGAAUUAAGGUUACCAUGAAAGGAGUUGCACUAGGAAGCCAAAUCAAUUCAAGGAUAAUUACAAUUCUUAUCAGACUCUCAAAGACUUGUUGUUUAGAAUGUUUGGGAGGAUUGAUUUUCACCAUUUGGAAGAGAAUUGAAGUAGACAAAUUAGGAUUUGAAGUAGUAGUAGUAGUUAAGAAAUUGGGAAUUUCUGAUGAGUAAAGAAUAGUUUCAUCAAGUAUAUUGGCAUUCCUAACUUGAACAAAAUAUUUUUUUUUUCUACUGGCUGUGGUAUCUUAAUGAAUUGUGGUAUCUUUUCUCUGUUUGUAGUAUAAACCUAGUGGAUCAGCUGAUAAGUCAGGAGUUUUCACUGUUGGUGAUAAAGUACUUUGUCGAUAACUGGUUCAUUGGUAUUCUAGAUUUAAAUUUGGUAGCUUUCUCAUAGGGAAGACUUUCAUUCUAAAUUGUGAUUCGUGAGAAUGGCUAAAAACAAAUCUAUAAAAUGAAGAGUUGGCUUUCAAGAAUGGACAACAUUGUGCAGCGGUUCCCGAAGUGCAAAACUGGAAAGGGAAAAGGCAGAUACAUGCUUUUGUCGUAAGCAGCGGUGCCGCGGUGGAGGUUACAGAGUAUGUGUGUUAUCAAUAUUGAAUUUAACUCCAUAAUACUAUGCUAAUAAUGUGCUAGGUUAGCUAUACAUGUUGGGGUUGUUGGAAUCAUUGUUUCCAAACAUGGAGCACGCAAACUUGAUUAUGUCUCUGCAACUAUUAUGGCUUUGGAUGUAUGCGAGAGUAAAGUUCUUAAAUAGUAAUUUGGUCUAUAUUAUUAGUUAGGAAGAUACUUAUACAAUGUAAUUGAUUAGUUACAAGUUAUAUAACGGUUAUUGAUUAUUAUGUA